Molecule: ribosomal RNA, 496 nt
Filed under: uncultured bacterium
Lineage: Bacteria
Description: partial 16S ribosomal RNA
Rfam family: Bacterial small subunit ribosomal RNA
Source: RNAcentral
AUGAACGCUGGCGGCGUGCCUAAUACAUGCAAGUCGAGCGAACAGACGAGGAGCUUGCUCCUCUGACGUUAGCGGCGGACGGGUGAGUAACACGUGGAUAACCUACCUAUAAGACUGGGAUAACUUCGGGAAACCGGAGCUAAUACCGGAUAAUAUAUUGAACCGCAUGGUUCAAUAGUGAAAGACGGUUUUGCUGUCACUUAUAGAUGGAUCCGCGCCGCAUUAGCUAGUUGGUAAGGUAACGGCUUACCAAGGCAACGAUGCGUAGCCGACCUGAGAGGGUGAUCGGCCACACUGGAACUGAGACACGGUCCAGACUCCUACGGGAGGCAGCAGUAGGGAAUCUUCCGCAAUGGGCGAAAGCCUGACGGAGCAACGCCGCCUGAGUGAUGAAGGUCUUCGGAUCGUAAAACUCUGUUAUUAGGGAAGAACAAAUGUGUAAGUAACUAUGCACGUCUUGACGGUACCUAAUCAGAAAGCCACGGCUAACUACGUG